AAGCGUUGUUCGGAAUUACUGGGCGUAAAGGGCUCGUAGGUGGCCAACUAAGUCAGACGUGAAAUCCCUCAGCUUAACUGGGGAACUGCGUCUGAUACUGGAUGGCUUGAGUUUGGGAGAGGGAUGCGGAAUUCCAGGUGUAGCGGUGAAAUGCGUAGAUAUCUGGAGGAACACCGGUGGCGAAGGCGGCAUCCUGGACCAACACUGACACUGAGGAGCGAAAGCCAGGGGAGCAAACGGG
This 241-nucleotide ribosomal RNA is filed under the name uncultured bacterium. RNAcentral describes it as "partial 16S ribosomal RNA". It matches the Rfam family "Bacterial small subunit ribosomal RNA", at positions 536 to 776 of the family's 1533-position model. The record is from RNAcentral.